AAAGUGUUUCUAGAAUU
RNAcentral lists this ribosomal RNA (17 nucleotides) under Celastrina oreas mirificus. Its description in RNAcentral is "partial 12S ribosomal RNA". The record is from RNAcentral. Lineage: Eukaryota; Metazoa; Arthropoda; Insecta; Lepidoptera; Lycaenidae.